CACAUGCCCUAUCUGGGGCGGCUCUGAGCCUACGAAGGCACUGGAGGCGGGCCUUAAGCAUCCCAAUAGUCAUCUCUGCCCCGGCUGGAGUCCUGCAGUGAGCCAAGCCGGGCUCAGGAUCAGGGGUCAGCAAAUACGGCUGGCAGGGGUACCCUCUGUCACCCAGCAGGGGGACGCCGGAGAUGAUGAGCUGCUGAAGCACCAACUGGCCGAUCCGGAGAUGAAGGAAGCCCAGAUGAUCAGCUGGCUGCAGGAGUUCAGACGUUGCGAGACUCAGCUAACGAAGGACCACGAACAGCUGAUUUAUACUAUCUUGAUGGUACGUCCUUCCUCAGACUUGCUUGCAGAUGUUGAGUGAAAUCACAUGGCCACGAUGAAAGGUGACACUCAUCAGG
This is a long non-coding RNA of Melanotaenia boesemani (Boeseman's rainbowfish), 395 nucleotides long. RefSeq lists it as uncharacterized. The record is from RefSeq and is a predicted model, not a curated record. Lineage: Eukaryota; Metazoa; Chordata; Actinopteri; Atheriniformes; Melanotaeniidae. The transcript is spliced from 4 exons.